AGUGAACGCUGGCGAUAGGCCUAACACAUGCAAGUCGAACGGCAGCACAGUAAGAGCUUGCUCUUACGGGUGGCGAGUGGCGGACGGGUGAGGAAUACAUCGGAAUCUACUUUUUCGUGGGGGAUAACGUAGGGAAACUUACGCUAAUACCGCAUACGACCUACGGGUGAAAGCAGGGGAUCUUCGGACCUUGCGCGAUUGAAUGAGCCGAUGUCGGAUUAGCUAGUUGGCGGGGUAAAGGCCCACCAAGGCGACGAUCCGUAGCUGGUCUGAGAGGAUGAUCAGCCACACUGGAACUGGGACACGGUCCAGACUCCUACGGGAGGCAGCAGUGGGGAAUAUUGGACAAUGGGCGCAAGCCUGAUCCAGCCAUACCGCGUGGGUGAAGAAGGCCUUCGGGUUGUAAAGCCCUUUUGUUGGGGAAGAAAAGCAGCAGGUUAAUACCCCGCUGUUCUGACGGUACCCAAAGAAUAAGCACCGGCUAACUUCGUG
RNAcentral lists this ribosomal RNA (492 nucleotides) under uncultured bacterium. RNAcentral describes it as "partial 16S ribosomal RNA". It matches the Rfam family "Bacterial small subunit ribosomal RNA", at positions 29 to 507 of the family's 1533-position model. The record is from RNAcentral.